Non-coding RNA from Pangasianodon gigas (Mekong giant catfish), 73 nucleotides. The record is from the annotation of a GenBank genome assembly. NCBI's taxonomy places the organism in Eukaryota, Metazoa, Chordata, Actinopteri, Siluriformes, Pangasiidae.
GGCAUGGUGGUUUAGUGGUUAGCACUGCUGCCUUGCACUUUUUGAGUUGGGGGUUCAAAUCCCACCUCUGCAC